UUUUAGUUCUUAAAAAUUAUUUGCAAUGGUGGGCCACACUAUUUUUGACUCUUUCUGAUGAAAGCAGAGCCACAGAUCCUGUUUGAAUUGGGCAGUUCUGUUAGUCCAUUCUAAAUAAUUACUUAAGUUCCUUUGUUAGUUUCAAUUGUGUUUAUUGAGUUUAUGUAUGAAACUGCUGCACUUUUAUUUUCUUAUGCUCUGUGUUUGUUCCAGACACUCUGCACACCUUCUCUCCUCCUGGAGGACACUUGUCAGAGAUGAUGUUCCGGUCUGAUAUGUCAUUGUCUCAGCUGACAUUUUCCAUUUGCUCUGUAUCCUUUAAUCAAAACAUUUUUUCACCCCCAGACUUUGUCCUCGUGGUGAUCUCCAACAACUGUGGGAUGUUUCUUAGAAUGGUCUAAAGAAAACAGAAUGCAAGCCAGAAAACGGCGUCGGGAAGAGCAGUAACCACAUGUGAGAGGACGCCGUUUGGAUCACAGUGCAAAUAUUGCAGGGAGACCAGCUACUAUUUGAAGGGGGAGAUGACAUGAAGACCAACAGUGGGACAGAGAAGAUUAAGGAAAAAAACUCCUCCCUAUUCAAGAAAUUGCAGCUUUACUGCAUGACAUCAUAAGGGCAGCCAAAUGCUCCAGAACACCAGCGUUUCCAGGAAGAUGGUCCCUGCCUGAUGUUAUAGAGAUGGAAGAGCGGAACUCUGAAAGAACUCCAAACCUGUGACUUCAUGAGUGAAGGGAAGAGAAUCCUGGAGCUGAGGGAUCCUUUCAUGUUCUCUUUUCAGUUGAAAAGUGACUGAAACAUUUUUAGUGCAGAAAUAAUGGAUGUGAAGAACUUAAAAGUGUAUAUGUGUUUGGAGGAGCAAUAAACAGUUUUGGCUGUUUGUUUCUUGAAAAAAAUGUCUUUUGUCUUUUUGCUGCAUUGCCACAGUCAUUUUAAUCUCUGAGAGCCUUUCAAAUGUGCCUGUGGGACCAUGGUUAGAUGUCUGGGAUAA
Molecule: long non-coding RNA, 988 nt
Organism: Oryzias melastigma (Indian medaka)
Lineage: Eukaryota; Metazoa; Chordata; Actinopteri; Beloniformes; Adrianichthyidae
Exons: 4
Source: RefSeq, a predicted model, not a curated record